GACGAACGCUGGCGGCGUGCUUAACACAUGCAAGUCGAACGAUGAAGAAAAGCAUCGAAGCUUCGGCAGAAAUUCAUUUCGGAUUAGUGGCAGACGGGUGAGUAACGCGUGAGCAACCUACCUCUUACAAAGGGAUAGCCUCGGGAAACCGGGAUUAAUACCAUAUAACAUUGCGACGAAGCAUUUCGAUGCAAUCAAAGCUACGGCGGUAAGAGAUGGGCUCGCGUCCCAUUGCCCGGGUGGUGAGGUAACGGCACACCAUAGUGACGAUGGGUAACCGGAGUGGGAGGGUGAACGGUCACGGUGGAGAUGAGACGCGGUCCAGACUCCUAGGGGAGGCGGCAGUGGGGAAUAUUGCACAAGGGAGGGAACUCUGAUGCAGCGACGCCGCGUGAGUGAUGAAGGGAGUCGUAACGUAAAACUCUGGUCUAUGGGAAGAAAAGGACUGUACCAUAGGAGAAAGCUCCGGCUAAAUACGUG
RNAcentral lists this ribosomal RNA (480 nucleotides) under uncultured bacterium. RNAcentral's name for it is "partial 16S ribosomal RNA". It matches the Rfam family "Bacterial small subunit ribosomal RNA", at positions 28 to 507 of the family's 1533-position model. The record is from RNAcentral.